Molecule: long non-coding RNA, 1483 nt
Filed under: Panax ginseng (ginseng)
Lineage: Eukaryota; Viridiplantae; Streptophyta; Magnoliopsida; Apiales; Araliaceae
Description: long non-coding RNA (PGIN_LNC005526)
Source: RNAcentral
AUUUAUAUAACUGUUGAACUGUCGUGCAGAGUACGACAACAGAUAAGCUGUGAGUUUUAAUACAAAUGUAUGUAACUCUCAUGGUGCCUCGACCACAACCUUACAAUGGUACUUUACAUAAAAGUACAGUCAAAAACUGUUUUAGAAAUUAAAAUCUUUGGGAAGUGCUCAAGGAAACCUUCGUACAUGGGAGGCCAUGCGUCUAGGUUAUGAUAGAAAUCAUAUGUCCACAGAAUUAUCCUUGGUUGACUCAAUAGACCCCAAAGAAAAAUAAGAAGAUUACUAUCAUGUUCUUUCCAAUGGUGAGUCUUCUCUUGACAUAUAACUAUCUCCACUGUCUGCAAUUGAAAAUUAUAUUUCAACCAAACUCCAAGAUCAUAUAGGUAGUGCUCGUAGAUAUACUCAGGAAGUGGAUGUGCACAACCAUGUCUUAUGAUAACACGAGAUUGUAUGUCAUUAGACAUCUUGUAUAAUAGUGGCAAAACACCCUUCCAAAGUUGGGUUCACCUCACCCUAUUCGGUUCACCAAAAUUAAAUAUCAAAUGAAGUAUACAAUACGACACACUUAUCUAAAGUUCUCAAUAAAAUUAUUUCCAUACUAUUUAGGGAGAACCUCAACAGCUAUAGACCACCAUUCUAUUCUCCUGUUACCCCCGCUCGACCCAGCUACACUCUUAUUACCUGAAAGAAAUUGUGAAGUAAAAAGGGUGAGCACAACUAGCCCAGUAAAGAAUAUCAUAACUAAAGAUAAUUUACAUCAUCAAUAGCCUUCAUCAGUAAUAAAUCAGAGAUUUAAGACAUAUGGUAGAUGAUAAAACUUUUCAACAAUAGUUGCAGCGGAACGACCAAUCCAUUAUAAGAGACAAAUAGACCAUCAAGUCUAUUAUCUUCUCCAUGUUAAAAGUCCACCAAUAAUAUUUUAUCCCUGUAACAUCAAUCAACAAUUCAUGUCCACAAUCAUAUGAAUAACUCAUAAUCAUAAUUGUGAUUCUAAAUUCCUCUUCGCACCCAGGACGAAGAUAAUUUUCAUCACCUAUCUUCACCUAAAACAUCAAAAAUCAUGGUUAUACCAAAUCACAAUUCCUGCUCAUAAUCAAACUAAUAAAUUCAUCUUUGCACUAUGGCCAAAGAUAUUCAUUAAUAAUUCAUCUUUGCACUACAUGUCAAAGACAUACAACUGUAUUUUAGAAGAGUCAAGUAGAGCAUGAUAUCUACUAUCUUUUAUGAAUUAAAAGUUUAUAAUCAAUAUUUUAUCGCUGAGACUCAGCUUAAUAAAUAAUCCACAUCAUCAAAUCAUCCCUGCACUACGGCCAAGGAUAUUCAUGUAAUCAUCAAUAGUCAUGAUUAUACCGAAUAAUCCCUGGUUAUAAUCAUACCAAUAAAUGUCCUUAAUGCAUUACGGGCCAAUGAGGACUUUUACCACAUCAUCUAUAACAUUACGGGUCAUGAUUAUAUCGAAUGAUCCCUGGUCAUAAUCAUACNN